GUUGACCUCGGAACAGGUAGGGAAACCCAGGGGAAAA
RNAcentral lists this ribosomal RNA (37 nucleotides) under Tolypocladium sp. 20124521a. Its description in RNAcentral is "partial 28S ribosomal RNA". Lineage: Eukaryota; Fungi; Ascomycota; Sordariomycetes; Hypocreales; Ophiocordycipitaceae. The record is from RNAcentral.